This is a long non-coding RNA of Hyla sarda, 336 nucleotides long. RefSeq lists it as uncharacterized. The transcript is spliced from 3 exons. NCBI's taxonomy places the organism in Eukaryota, Metazoa, Chordata, Amphibia, Anura, Hylidae. The record is from RefSeq and is a predicted model, not a curated record.
GCGGACGAGUGAAAUUUCAUGUCGAAAGAAGUUAUUUCAGGGCGAAUGAGCAAAUCAGCCAGCGUGUAAGACAGUAACAGGAAUGGUGGUCGAGGAAUUUCUAUAUUUCCCCAAGGUGCCUGUUGUAUGUGGAAACCAGGUUUCAGGAAGCGCAAUUCUAAUCCAGAGGAAAUCUAGGUGGCAGAGGCCUUUGAUUUCGAGUUUUCCUCUGCUCUGGUUCCAAGGCAAUGAUCUCCUUCCAUUGAAACAAAACACCUCCAGAGAAGACACUUCAGAUCUGCUUUGCUAUCAAUAUGAGCAACACAGUAAAAACUACGAUACGCUGGAAACAGAUGC